UGGGUUGUGCUUCAGUGGUAGAGUACUUACCUGGUAUGUAUGAGGCCCUGGGUUCCAUCCCCAGCACCUCAA
This is a non-coding RNA of Ictidomys tridecemlineatus (thirteen-lined ground squirrel), 72 nucleotides long. Lineage: Eukaryota; Metazoa; Chordata; Mammalia; Rodentia; Sciuridae. The record is from Rfam.